UGGGUGGGUGCCCAGCCCUGCCAGGCAGAAGGCGGGUGGCUUCUCUUGUUUAAAUCUUAGAUCUUACUUAUGGGAGACCUGGGGUGGGGGGUGAGGUCUGCCUUUUGCAUUCUUAUCAGGUGAGUCAUGACAGGGAUCAGCCCCCUGUAAGCACCUGCGGGUCAAGACAGAGAACCUUGCCAGAGCCCAGAAGCCGCUGCAGGCCCCUCCCAUCCCAUCAGUAGCCCAUCCGUACGGGCCUGGUGGCUCCUCCCUUCGCUCUGUGGGUUUCCAUGUCCACAUAUAUCCUCCCACACUGCAGCCUGGGGUUAAAUGUGCGUUGUGUGACUUUCAGUGCUCUCUUCCUACCCACCUCCAUCCCUCUGUCCUUUUCUGUACCCGGCACCUGUUGUAGGAAGCAGCCCUCGGACACGUGGAGGUGCCCAAGGCCUGGGUUGGAGCUGCAUCUUUCGGUGCAGACCUCUGCGUCUCCUGGAAGUGGGCACCUGGAGCCAGGGGCCUGCUGGGAUCUGGGUCCAGUCCCCUGGCAAGGCCGGGGGCUCUCAGAGGGAGCCACACACUGUCUGGUGGUAGCUCCUCCGUCCGCAGUCAUUGGUGCUUGAUGUCUGAAUCGACAGAUUCAUGGAGCAAAACGGUGAUUUUCCAGUGCGUGGUGGCUUUGUCAUGAAUUCACUGGAAGGAGAGGCUCAUCUUGUCCGUCUGGCCGUCUGGAUAAUGGUGCCCACAGGAAAGGCAGGGCAAGGGUGCCUCUCCCUCAUUUGUCGGUUUUCACAAUGGUGAAUUGGUUCCCGACGAUCUCCCAAGUGUAUUUAUAUAUCGCUGAUGAAACACAUUGGUGGGUCUCAGUCGAUCACCAUUAGUGCCCUUUCCAAUCAUUGGUGUCCAGCUUUGCCCAGGGGAGCCUCUUCAAAUGCAAUCUCGCAUCCUUAUGAUGUGAGCCUGGUCAUCUGCGAUGGCCUCUUGGCCGUGUGCAGGGCACAGCCAGGGGAACCCUGGGAUUUAGUGCGAAAGUGUAGCCGAUGGUGGUUACAUUCUGUGUGUAGAUUCUCGGAACAGUCCCUGCUGCCUGCGACCCUGGGGUGGAGUUUCUAAUUGAUUAGGACGGACACCCAGUGCCAGCUUCCAAGCCAGGAGGCCGCUCGUGCCCACGGCUUGGAAUCAGGGCUGUGGCCUGGGCGGGCUCUCACCAGGCGCAGGCCACCUCCAGGUGUCCGUGUGCCUCUGCACACAGAGCUUCUCCCCAGGUCCGCAGGUCCCCCCAGUCCACUUCUGCUUUCCUGUUAGGGUGGGGGGCUCAUCUCCUGGUGUGUCAUCUGCAUCCUUCUGGGCUGGGAACCUGCUAUUGGGUACCAGGCAGGGCGCACCUCCAGGGCUGAAGGAUGCAGGUGGGGCUGGCAGGCAGAGCGUCCGUGGAGAGCUCCGUGUCCAGGCAAGAGGACACCUGGAGGAGGCCUGCCCUGGAGGCCCCACACUCCUUCUCACCAGAAGCCACCCGCCUUCUGCCUGGCAGGGCUGGGCACCCACCCAGGUUCUUGCCUGUUGGCCUGGCACCCAUGUGUGGUGAGCCUCUCCGGGCAGGGUGGGGUAUGUGGACAUCAGUGGAGGAAGCAGAGGCUCCGGCCGCCUGUGGGACCCGCACUCUCCCUGCCCAGGAGUCCCGCCAGGGCCGAGAAUUCUGCGCAUGGCCAGGGUGGCCCUAAAGCCCCACAUCCGCCACCACCUGUGGGGGCUCGAAGGGAGCUGUGGUAGGCAGGGAUGACAGAAGACCCCAGCCACAGCCCCAGGCCCACGGCCGCAUCUCCCCUGAAGAUGCAGCCCUGUCCCAAGGGUUCUGCAAACAAUGCCAGGCUCUUCCCAGGCAGGCACCGCAAGCUGUGCCCCCCUCCACCGCUGGCUUGCCCAGGGCGGGGCCCCUGGGCCUGGUGGAUGGUGGGCCUGGCUCAGCUGGUGCCGGGGAGCCUGUCUGCACAGUGGCCGGGUACGUGGGGUUCGGAGCCUCCCGGGUCCUGUGCCUGCUGGGCAGGGGCGCAUCCCAUGGAGCUGAAUCUGGGAACAGAAGGGGCCUCCCCUCCCACAGAGCUCCUCUGAGACCGUCUGUGUCUGAGACUGUAAGUGACGCCAACAGAAGGUCAAGCUUGAGCGACAAAGCUCUCAGUCCUGUAAUUCACGGACACUGAGUCUUCGCUCAAGUUCCCUCUGGAAGAUUCCAUGGAUGAGGCCGACACACUCUGCCCCUCACUCAGGAGGCUCCAGGAUUUUUAGACCACGUGUGCAGCUUUCCUUCUCUCAAAGUAUAACUCACAUAAUGUUACUCAGAAUCUCACACGGACGCCUGUGAGCUGCGGACACAGGGAAGGUUCCGCAUCUCCUCUGAAGUCCAAGCUGCCCAGAAGCCCACCCACCCCCCGCCAGCUCUCGUUCCUGCUCCACAGGUGACUUCUUUCCCGUGAACCUUGGGCAAAUGUUUGCUGUUGGCUUAGGGGGAAAGGCUGUGCCAGGGUCCAGAUGGGCUCAAAACCUCCCAACCUGGCAGACACGCAGCCCAGGCCAUGCCAGGGUCCAGGUGAGCUCAAAACCUCCCAACCUGGCAGACACGCAGCCUUUCAGAAACGGAAGCAGAGCCCAGGACAUGGUAUGGCCAAUCCUCUCACAGGCAUCAUAAAGAGCUGGGUUUGGAAGACGAGGCCAACCCUCAUGGAUGCCGCCCCCGACCCCGGCAACACCAUGAGAUCAGGGAUUUGCUGGCUCUGUCUCAGAGCCGCGGAGGGUCCUGCUCAAACCCCAGAGCCGCGGGGAUGGGCUGCGGGGCUGGUGGGGGCGUACUGCGAGGGGCCGCUGAGCAGGCUGGGGUGAGCUGGGCCUGGUCUGUGGGGGUGGGGGCACAGCCUUCGCUGGGGAGGCAGCCAGGGAAGGGGUUCCUACCAGCCUGAGAUGGAGCAAUGGAGCAACUAGUGAAGCCAAGUUUGCAAAAUUAUCCCCGUUGGUGGAAGGGAUCCGACCUGACUCCAUCUUGGUUCUGACCUCCAAGCUGUCCUUGUUCCUUCCUGGGCGUGGGCUGAACUAACUUUGGGAGGAACUUAGUUUAUAGUUAAAAUAAACCUCCUUCUUGCCUGAGGACUAGACUGCCUUUGUAGGAUUAACAAAUUAGCCACAAGAUUAAAGAAAUUGUGGUUUAGGAGUCAAUGCAGCUGGAGGCUACAAGAUUCUGACCCUCCCUAAACUGCUCCUAAAAUCCAUGCCUGAGAUGUUUUGCAGACCCUUGCUGCACUAGAUGGAUCAGCUGGCACCACCCAGAUCAAUAGACUGGCUCAUCUGAUCUUGUGACCCCCACCAGGAACUGACUCAGCACAAAAGGACAGCUUCAGUUCCCUAUGAGUUCAUCUCUGACCUGACCAAUCAGCAGUCCUGGCUCACUGGCUUCCUCACCCACUAAGCUGUCCUUAAAAACUGAUCCCUGCCGGGCACGGUGGCUCAUGCCUGUAAUCCCAGCACUUUGGGAGGCCGAGGCGGGCGGAUCACGAGGUCAGGAGAUCGAGACCAUCCUGGCUAACACGGUGAAACCCCGUCUUUACUAAAAAUACACACAAAAAAAUUAGCCGGUCAUGGUGGCAGGUGCCUGAAGUCCCAGCUACUCCGGAGGCAGGAGAAUGACGUGAACCCGGGAGUCGGAGCUUGCAGUAAGCUGAGAUCGCGCCACUGCACUCCAGCCUGGGGGAUAGAGUGAGACUCCGUCUCAAAAAAAAAAAAAAAAAAACUGAUCCCAAAUGUGUGGAGAGACUGAUUUCAGUGACAAUAAAACUCCGGUCUCCCGCACAGCCA
Molecule: long non-coding RNA, 3819 nt
Organism: Pongo pygmaeus (Bornean orangutan)
Lineage: Eukaryota; Metazoa; Chordata; Mammalia; Primates; Hominidae
Exons: 2
Source: RefSeq, a predicted model, not a curated record